Molecule: RNA transcript, 1833 nt
Organism: Andrographis paniculata
Lineage: Eukaryota; Viridiplantae; Streptophyta; Magnoliopsida; Lamiales; Acanthaceae
Exons: 5
Source: RefSeq, a predicted model, not a curated record
GCCUGGCAAGGGCCGGGCCUGCACGCAUCCUUCUCCUUUCUUCUUGCUCCUCCUUCCCGCACCAUCACCGACUCCCUUCCAGCAGACUAAUCGUUCGUGGCCGUCGGAAUCUGGGGCUUCGGAACGCGUCUAUUGAGGAUACGUUUCUUGAUAGCUGAACUAUAGGCAUCAAAUUAGUUCCAGUAGUUUCCUUUCGUUGCCCUACCAAUUAUGGAUUAUUCAGAAUCACCAAACUUAUCUGCAGAAAAUGAUGUGCUUGAGCCACUGUUUAUUGCUUCUGGUUUAUCUACUAUAAACGAAACUCUUCAAUGUCUUAUCGAAAUUGCAAAAACUUCUGACGGCCGGUUAAAUCUAGCAUCCAAAGGUGUUCUUGUACCACUUCUUGAAGUUUGCAAAACUCCAUUUCGAUUUUCUGUUCAAGAUCUUUUUUUAUCUGUUAAGCUACUCAGAAACCUCUGUGCUGGGGAGAUAAGAAAUCAGAACUUGUUUAUUGAACAAAAUGGUGCUGGGAUUUUAUCAGCCAUUAUUAGCUCCAUGGGGCUGACUUCUGGUUGCAAUAAUGAUUUGCUUCGUAUGUUGUUGCAAGCUUUGGGGAAUGUUUCAUUAACGGGCGAACAGUGUCAAGUUGCUGUAUGGCGCGAAUUCUUUCCUUUUGGAUUUCGGGAGAUUGCUAGAGUUCAAGAUAGGAAUAUUUGUGAUCCUCUGUGCAUGGUUAUCUACACCUGUUGUGAAGGUAGCGAUGAAAGAUUUGCUGAACUGCUUACAGAUUCGGGGCUGGAUAUCAUAGCAGGAAUUACAGGGACAGUUACAGUAGCUGGUUAUAGGGAGGAUUGGUUGAAGAUGCUCCUCUCUAGAAUUUGUAUAGAAGAAUCUAAAAUCUUGUCACUUUUCUCCAAAUUAUCUCCAGUCGUUGAACCUGAGAUUGCUAGUGACAAUUUAGCUCAAACUGAUCAUUAUGCAGCUGAGCAAGCAUUUUUGUUGAGAGUUCUUUCAGAAAUAUUAAAUGAGCAAAUGGGAGAAAUUGUUGUUUCCCCUGAAUUUUCUCUGUGCAUCUUUGAGCUCUUUAAAAAUGCUACUGAACAUGUUGAUUUUACAUUGAGGGGAAAGGCUCCGCUUCCAACUGGCUCAAUAGAUACCGAUGUAACGGGCUAUGCCUUGUCAGUUUUAAGAGACAUUAGUGCUUGUGAUUGUUUGAAAAUCUCAAGCCCAGAUGGAAAAGAGGAUGCUGUAGAGAUGCUACUGUCAGUCGGCCUUAUCAAAUUUCUUAUAACCCUGCUACGUGAUCUAGAGCUUCCAGCAUUGCUCAGGAAAGCAGUGAAAUAUGAUGGUGCCAAUGAUCGGAAAACUUCUGUCCCGCCCAUGUAUAACCCAUACAGAGGUUUUCGAAGAGAUUUGGUCGCCAUUAUCGGAAACUGCAGCUAUCACAGGAAGCAUGUUCAGGAUGAAGUCCGGGAACAAGAUGGGAUUCUUCUAAUGCUUCAGCAAUGUGUUGUUGACGAUGACAAUCCUUACUUGAGGGAAUGGGGUAUCUGGUCUAUGAGAAAUAUUUUGGAAGGAAAUGCGGAAAACAAACAAUUAGUAGCUGAUUUGGAGGUACAGGGAUCAGUGGAUGUGCCUGAAAUAGCUGGACUGGGCCUCCGAGUAGAAGUAGAUCCUAACACCAGCCGACCAAAACUUGUAAAUGCCUCAUAAAAGGUGAAACUCAAUGGAUAAUGAAACUAAAUCCAUCCAAGCAGUCCAGGCUGCAAUUUCCUACAUAGGCGACGAGGAAGUUUUCUUCGACAACAACCGAGAGCUGGAAAAAGAGAAGGAGCUCGAAAAGUUGAAACAAGA